This 525-nucleotide ribosomal RNA is filed under the name bacterium PFCr-2. Its description in RNAcentral is "bacterial SSU rRNA". It matches the Rfam family "Bacterial small subunit ribosomal RNA", at positions 8 to 524 of the family's 1533-position model. The record is from RNAcentral.
AGAGUUUGGUCCUGGCUCAGAUUGAACGCUGGCGGCAGGCCUAACACAUGCAAGUCGAACGGUAGCACAGAGAGCUUGCUCUCGGGUGACGAGUGGCGGACGGGUGAGUAAUGUCUGGGAAACUGCCUGAUGGAGGGGGAUAACUACUGGAAACGGUAGCUAAUACCGCAUAACGUCGCAAGACCAAAGAGGGGGACCUUCGGGCCUCUUGCCAUCAGAUGUGCCCAGAUGGGAUUAGCUAGUAGGUGGGGUAAYGGCUCACCUAGGCGACGAUCCCUAGCUGGUCUGAGAGGAUGACCAGCCACACUGGAACUGAGACACGGUCCAGACUCCUACGGGAGGCAGCAGUGGGGAAUAUUGCACAAUGGGCGCAAGCCUGAUGCAGCCAUGCCGCGUGUAUGAAGAAGGCCUUCGGGUUGUAAAGUACUUUCAGCGGGGAGGAAGGUGUUGUGGUUAAUAACCGCAGCAAUUGACGUUACCCGCAGAAGAAGCACCGGCUAACUCCGUGCCAGCAGCCGCGGUAAU